AGUUCGAUCCUGGCCUGUGAUUGAACGGGCUGGCGGGAUGUUUUACAUGCACAAGUCGAACGGCAGCACGGACUUCGGUCUGGUGGCGAGGGCGAACGGGUGAGUAAUGCAUCGAACGUGCCUAGUAGCGGGGGAUAACCACGCGAGCGUAGCUAAUACCGCAUACGUCUCUCGGGGGAAAGCGGGGACCCGGCCUCGCACGCAUGAGUGCCGAUAUCGAUUAGCUGGCUGGUGGGCAACGGCUCACCAAGGCGACGAUCCGUAGCUGGUUUGAGGAGGACGACGAAGUCACACUGGGACUGGAGACACGGCCUAGACUCCGCUACGGAGGCAGCAGUGGGGAAUUUUGGAUAAUGGGGAAACCCCUGAUCCAGCCAUCCUGCGCAAAGAGAUGGUGGCCUUUGGUUGUAGUACCUUUGUAAGAAAGAAAUGGGCACGUGGGAUAAUACCCGCGACUGACGGUACCUGCAGAAUAAGCACCGGCUAAUUGCUGUGUCAGCAGCUGCGGUAAUACGUAGGGUGUAUGACCGGAAUUACUAUGAAGCGUGUGCAGGCGGUUCGAAAGAAAGAUGUGAACUUCUAGAGCUUAACUUUGGAACUGCAUUUUUAACUACCGAGCUAGAGUGUGUCAGAGUGGAGGUGGAAUUUAUGGUAGCAGUGAAAUGCGUAGAUAUGCGGAGGAACACCGAUGGUGAAGGCAGCCUCCUGGGAUAACACUGACGCUCAUGCACGAAAGCGUGGAGCAACAGGAUUAGAUACCUUGUAGUCCACGCCCAAACGAUGUCAACUAGCUGUUGGGGCCUUCGGGCCUUGGUGAAGCAGUCAACGUGAAGUUGACCGCCUGGGGAGGCUAUCGCAAGAUUAAAAACUUCAAAGGAAUUGACGGGGACCCCUGUAAGCGGUGGAUGAUGUGGAUUAAUUCGAUGCAACGCGAAACCUUACUCACCUUGAUGAUACAUGUUCGAAUCCCGAAGAGAUUUGGGAGUGCUCGCAAGAGAACCGGAACACAGGUGCUGCAUGGCUGUCGUCAGUUUCGUGUCGUGAGAUGUUGGGUUAAGUCCUGCAACGAGUGCAACCUCGUCAUUAGUUGCUACGAAAGGACACUCUAAUGAGACUGCCGGUGACAAACCGGAGGAAGGUGGGGAUGACGUCAAGUCCUCAGGCGCGGGCCUCAUGGGGUGGUCACACGUCAUACAAUGGUCGGGACAGAGUGGGGGUCGCCAACCCGCGAGGGGGGAGCCAAUCCCAGAAACCUGAUCGUAGUCCGGGAUCGGGUAGUCUUUCUGUAACUCGAUCAGGUGAAGUCGGAAUCGCUAGGACCGUGGAUCAGCAUGUCGCGGUGAAGGCUGUUCCCGGGUCUUGUACACACCGCCCGUCACACCAUGGGAGGCAGUUACCAGAAGGUAGUUAGCCUAACCCGUGGGCGGAGGGCGAUUACCACGGUAGGAUCUACGACUGGGGUGUAGUCGUAACAAGGUAG
RNAcentral lists this ribosomal RNA (1480 nucleotides) under uncultured Bordetella sp. RNAcentral's name for it is "partial 16S-23S ribosomal RNA intergenic spacer". It matches the Rfam family "Bacterial small subunit ribosomal RNA". Lineage: Bacteria; Pseudomonadati; Pseudomonadota; Betaproteobacteria; Burkholderiales; Alcaligenaceae. The record is from RNAcentral.